Molecule: ribosomal RNA, 465 nt
Filed under: uncultured bacterium
Lineage: Bacteria
Description: partial 16S ribosomal RNA
Rfam family: Bacterial small subunit ribosomal RNA
Source: RNAcentral
GGGGAAUAUUGGACAAUGGGGGCAACCCUGAUCCAGCAAUGCCGCGUGUGUGAAGAAGGUCUUCGGAUUGUAAAGCACUUUCGACGGGGACGAUGAUGACGGUACCCGUAGAAGAAGCCCCGGCUAACUUCGUGCCAGCAGCCGCGGUAAUACGAAGGGGGCUAGCGUUGCUCGGAAUGACUGGGCGUAAAGGGCGUGUAGGCGGUUUACACAGUCAGAUGUGAAAUCCCCGGGCUUAACCUGGGAGCUGCAUUUGAUACGUGUAGACUAGAGUGUGAGAGAGGGUUGUGGAAUUCCCAGUGUAGAGGUGAAAUUCGUAGAUAUUGGGAAGAACACCGGUGGCGAAGGCGGCAACCUGGCUCAUGACUGACGCUGAGGCGCGAAAGCGUGGGGAGCAAACAGGAUUAGAUACCCUGGUAGUCCACGCUGUAAACGAUGUGUGCUAGAUGUUGGGUAACUUUGGUU